This 781-nucleotide long non-coding RNA is filed under the name Ananas comosus (pineapple). RNAcentral's name for it is "long non-coding RNA (ACOM_LNC029349)". The record is from RNAcentral. Lineage: Eukaryota; Viridiplantae; Streptophyta; Magnoliopsida; Poales; Bromeliaceae.
UUAUAUAUAUAUAUAUAUAUAGAACUAGGCUGGAAUACUAUCAAUAGCAUCAAUGGUGCUAUUGAUUUUUUAGCUUUUGGAUUGAGAAAUGGAUAGUUAGAAUGAUAUGGGCCCCCUAGGGUUGAAUGAGUGGUUGGUUGAAUAGCUCUGUGGUGUCAAUUAGUGCUGAAGCUCUUGAGGAGGAACAGCCGAGGCGUGAUGGUCUGAACGGAUUGGCGAGAGAGACAUCGCAUGGUUGCAUGUAUUAUAUGGCGGUGGGCCUCCCAUAAAUACCAUUUUAUUUAUUUGUUAUGAUAUAUAAAGAUUUCCACAAAAAGUAAAUAGAAAAAGUAUAUGAGAAAGAAGAAAAAAUUUAUUUGGUACAUUUUGGUGGAAGACAAACUGAACUAAUUCUCUCAUUAGAGAAAACAAAGUAGCAAAUUAAAUUGAUCCUCUAUGCAUGUACAGCCCUUUGGGGUAGCUAUAAUUAAUUAAGGCGACUCUGGUUUCAUUAGACAGAAUAGCCCCGACCUCUCUAUUUAUAUCUAAUUAUAUAUAAUCCUACUCCAAUUAGAUUUCACUUUAAUCAUAAUUUAAACAACAAAAUCUAAUAAUCAAAUAAAAUAAAUAAUUUAUUUAUAAUCUAGCAUUAUCUCUAACACUCUCUCAUAAUGCUAAUACUAGUGUAGUGACCCGCGCGAUGCGACGGGUAGAAAUAUUUUAGUAAAUAAAUAUAAACGUAAAGAAGAAACAAAAAAUAUAACUAUAUUGAUUAGAUAUAACAAUAAAAAAAAUAUAUUAG